RNAcentral lists this ribosomal RNA (562 nucleotides) under Sciades guatemalensis (blue sea catfish). Its description in RNAcentral is "partial 16S ribosomal RNA". It matches the Rfam family "Bacterial large subunit ribosomal RNA", at positions 1819 to 2595 of the family's 2925-position model. The record is from RNAcentral. Lineage: Eukaryota; Metazoa; Chordata; Actinopteri; Siluriformes; Ariidae.
CCUCCCGCAAAAAUCAAUGUAUAGGAGGUCUCGCCUGCCCAGUGACAAGUUAAACGGCCGCGGUAUUUUGACCGUGCGAAGGUAGCGCAAUCACUUGUCUUUUAAAUGAAGACCUGUAUGAAUGGUAGAACGAGGGCUUAACUGUCUCCCUUUUUAAGUCAAUGAAAUUGAUCUGCCCGUGCAGAAGCGGACAUAAUAAUACAAGACGAGAAGACCCUUUGGAGCUUAAGACUUCAGAUCAACUAUGUCAAGAACUUAGACCAAGUUUAAACCAAAUAGCACCUGAUCCUAAUCUUCAGUUGGGGCGACCGCGGGAGAAAACAAAGCUCCCAUGAGGACUGGACCCACCUCCAGAACCAAGAAAGACAUCUCUAAGUCACAGAACCUCUGACCAUAAAGAUCCGGCCACCCGCCGACCAACGGACCAAGUUACCCUAGGGAUAACAGCGCAAUCCCCUUCUAGAGUCCAUAUCGACAAGGGGGUUUACGACCUCGAUGUUGGAUCAGGACAUCCUAAUGGUGCAGCCGCUAUUAAGGGUUCGUUUGUUCAACGAUUAAAGUC